GUAAUUAUCCUUCCUUUAAGGGUCUUUUUUUCCUUAUGCUAAUAUUUAGGACUUUUCUUUUCCUUUGGUUUGGGGACUUUCACUGUGACAUGGAUUUCUCUUUCUUUAUCCUUCUUGUUAUUUGUGAGGCUUCCUGAAUCCAUCAAGAGGGACCUACCACAAGUUUUAGAAAGUUGAAGUCAUUAUUUCUUCAACUAUCUCUUAUAUUGCAUUCUCUUUCACCUCUCCUUUUAAAUUCCUUUAUUUGUGGGCUAGCCCAGUGGCGCAGCAGUUAAGGGUACACAUUCCACUUUGGCGGCCUGGGGUUCACUGGUUCAGAUCCCGGGUGUGGACAUGGCACUGCUUGGCAAGCCAUACUGUGAACAUUUGAAUUUCAGAUCUUGUGUGGUGUUAACCAAGUUUGAGCACCAGCAUUCCUAAUGUGCAUUGGCCAAUAUCCUGUCUUCUGCUCAUAUAUGUCAAUUUUAGCUGUUUUCCAGAUUUCUCAGUGAAGAAAUGUAAAAGCCCAAGCUCACUAGGGAACUGGACAUGUGAAAAACCCUCCAACCUGAAACACUGGGGAUAUUGGUGAUCUAAAGCCUCUGAGCCUGGAUUGUAAUCCCUCUAUCCUCUUGCCGAUUCCCUUAAUCUCAGCACUUCAGUCAGUCGGAAGCUGCCACGAGAGGACAAGAUUUUCCUGGCCACAGAUGCUUUUGGAGUUUCCCUUCUACAGAAGAAUUUCAGGCAGGUUUCCAACAUCUUACAGCGACAAUUCAACUUUGUCCCUGGCAUGUAAGAAAAGUCUCUUCCUGCUUGGAGUUCUACUGGAAAACUAACCCACCGCGGCUGAGAAACACGAUUGCUGGCAAAGUUUCUCUGCAGCAACACCAGGGAAGCUGUCUCCUCCACAAUGAUGGAUCCAGGAUUGAACAAGAUCAGUACCCUUUGGUCACUUCCGCACAAGAGAAAGAUUUAUUUUCAACUCCAUCUAAUUAUUUUCCGGAACCUAGUUUUGUAGAAUCGUUACUUUGUUAUUUUACGGGAGUAUGCUGGGGGAUGGAGUUUAAACUCCUCUAAAACAAGGAUGCAUGAGAACUAUUUCCUCUGUGGCCUAAUUGUCUAAAUCUGACUUUGGAGUCAAUAUUUUUACUGGAUAUCUAGUGCUUAUCAAAGUCGCUUGCAGCCAAAAUAAAAUGUCAGGCAAAGGCAUACAUUUUACUGCUAGAAAUUCAAGAUUUCAUAGGAUUUUUGUGAUAUGUAUCUCUUCAAGGUACAGUUUGACAGAAAUUAAAUUAAAUCUGCCAUGUCAAAUAAAUCCUGAGGAUGGAAAAAUUACAGAUAAUUUUUAAUGUUUGAUACAGAUAUGUUCUUCUCUAGCAGUCAAUACCUCAGUCAAAGUAAAUAAAUAACUUCAAAGAUUAUGUGGGAUCAGAAUUGUUUUCAGUAAAAGACGCCAUUAAAGUUAAUGACAACAAAGUCAUAAUGGAAUAAAUAUUACAACUGGAAAAUGAUUAAAAUUCUCCAAGUGGGCUUCGUAAAUUACAAUGUUAAUGUAAAAAUGAG
This 1542-nucleotide long non-coding RNA is filed under the name Equus caballus (horse). RNAcentral's name for it is "lncRNA (ENSECAG00000031176.3)". The record is from RNAcentral. Lineage: Eukaryota; Metazoa; Chordata; Mammalia; Perissodactyla; Equidae.